AAAGGGUGUGUAGGCGGACAUUUAAGUCAGAGGUGAAAUCCCGGGGCUCAACCCCGGAACUGCCCCUGAUACUAUUUGUCUUGAAUACUGAUGAGGUGGGCGGAACGGGUCAUGUAGCGGUGAAAUGCUUAGAGAUGACCCGGAACACCGAUUGCGAAGGCAGCUCACUGGGCAGUUAUUGACGCUGAGGCACGAAAGCGUGGGGAUCAAACAGGAUUAGAUACCCGAGU
Molecule: ribosomal RNA, 230 nt
Filed under: uncultured bacterium
Lineage: Bacteria
Description: partial 16S ribosomal RNA
Rfam family: Bacterial small subunit ribosomal RNA
Source: RNAcentral